UACGGAGGGUGCAAGCGUUAUCCGGAUUUACUGGGUUUAAAGGGUGCGUAGGUGGGUAGGUAAGUCAGUGGUGAAAUCUUCAAGCUUGACUUGGAAACUGCCAUUGAUACUAUUUAUCUUGAAUACUUUGGAGGUAAGCGGAAUAUGUCAUGUAGCGGUGAAAUGCUUAGAUAUGACAUAGAACACCAAUUGCGAAGGCAGCUUACUACACAGUUAUUGACACUGAGGCACGAAAGCGUGGGGAUCAAACAGG
RNAcentral lists this ribosomal RNA (253 nucleotides) under uncultured bacterium. RNAcentral's name for it is "partial 16S ribosomal RNA". It matches the Rfam family "Bacterial small subunit ribosomal RNA", at positions 524 to 776 of the family's 1533-position model. The record is from RNAcentral.